Long non-coding RNA from Lineus longissimus, 576 nucleotides. RefSeq lists it as uncharacterized. The record is from RefSeq and is a predicted model, not a curated record. Lineage: Eukaryota; Metazoa; Nemertea; Pilidiophora; Heteronemertea; Lineidae. The transcript has 3 exons.
ACCUUGAAAAGAACGGAACGGCCAUGAUUUGCAGGAUUGGACUAAAGAAAUUGUCUGCGGUUUUGGUCCUAAUCGGACUGAUUCUCGCCGUGGAAGGACACAAACUCCCCUGCGGCCACCACGGCUCUGUCUGCAGCCGCUGGGAGUGGGACCAAUACUCGUGCUGUGGACCGUCCAUAUCCGCCCCUGGUGGGCACGACUGCGUCAACGACGGAAAUGAUUGGUACUACUGCCGGGAAAAUCUGAUCGGAACGCCCAACAGGCCACUGUAUCAGUAGUAAUCUUGAGGGAUUCAAAGUGUACUCGUUUUCGAUUUUGCUAAAUUCAUUAAACAACAUCAAGGACAGAAGGAGCAACACGAAGAACAAAUAUUUUAGACUGGUUCGAUAUUCUACUAUUACAGUGGUAUGCUUAUAAUUCAUUCUGCGGGGCUGAUCAAUGCAUCAGAUCUCUACUGCAUUAAAUGAUACCCCAAUUGCAUUGAUUUAUGUAAGUCAUACAAAAAAGAGUCAUGCCAAAAGUGGAAUGACUCUUUUUAUAAUAUAUCCUUGAGAAAUAAAAGAUGCCGUGCCUAUA